This 1389-nucleotide long non-coding RNA is filed under the name Zonotrichia albicollis (white-throated sparrow). Its description in RNAcentral is "lncRNA (ENSZALG00000004251.1)". The record is from RNAcentral. Lineage: Eukaryota; Metazoa; Chordata; Aves; Passeriformes; Passerellidae.
AUGAGGCUAAGCAGCAGGGGCUGCUGCCUGAGAACCUUUCAAGACACCGGCACUUUUAUUUAUUUAUUCUUCCACUUUUCUUAUAAAAUCAUCCAGAAUCUUUUCACUGUUCCUGAGAACUUCAGCUUUGCCUUCUUUUAUGAGGAGGUGGAGGAGUUGAUACCUCCUGCUGCCUCCUCUGACCCUCUUGCUCCUUCUCUGCCAUCACAUCACAUGAGUACAAGUCCUUUCCUUCAGGCAGCUUUUUCACUAUUUGUGCAGGGGGAGGAACCAUGCACACUGAUGAGAUUUGAGAUCAGCCACAAUUUGGAGUGGAGACUGGAGCUAGGGAGAGAAUGAAGGUACAGGAGACAUGAAAACAAAAGGAAAUGUCCAUUUAAAAUGGACAGACUCAGUAUUGAAGACCUUGCUUACAGACAAGUGUCAAGCUGAAUUCUGCAUUUGAUUCUGCUGCCUCUAAUAAUCAAGUGGAAAAGAGCCACAGCAAUCUGAAGGUAUGGCUCUUGGGAAACACACCCAAUUUGUUCUUACCAGAUAACUUCCACAGCCAGUACCAGACCUCUGAAAAGCCCAGAAGAGAAGGCCUCUCAAAUCCAAGCAAUUUAAAUUCAAUGAAUGUGAUUUGGCUUGCAGUUAGUUCCCUAGGAAGUAAUGAAAGAGGUAAUUAAAAGACUGGACAACUGCUUUAAGUAAAACAUUAUGCAUUAGAGUGAAAGCAUUUCAGAUAAACUGUUUCCAGGCCAUGAAAGCCAGCUCUUUGUCUCUCUGUGCAUCACUACAGUGCCCCAGUUGCAGAUGGGGAAAUGACACCUCCUUUCUGAAGGUCCCACCACAUCCCGCUUCUGUUUGUGAAGGAGGAGAGACACUUAUGUUAGAACAUGUAGAAACAUUCAUGAAAUGUUAGGAAUUUCCUUUACUCACUCCUCUCCAACAACUUUACUCCCCCUAUGUCAUCCUCAAAGACCUGCCCUCAACUUUCUUCUGGUACAGCAGUGGAACAAAAGAAUCCCUCUUCCCUGAAAGAGGUGGAUUCCUUUGAGUUAAAGAUCUAAGGGAUGCUGGGAGGAUGCACUGAGAGUGAAAAGGGGUAAUUCAGGUGAAGUCUUGGACAAUGGAAUUUGAUCAGCACCUUCCUUUUUAGAAAGCAAAAAAUACUGCUGGUGUCAGGGAGAGAGUAAGUCCCAGCCAUGUCAAGGACAAUGCUCCAAUGGCAAGCAGCAGAGCAGGCAGAAAAUUGUUCUCUGAAGAGGGAAAACAUUUACUAUUCAGUCAAGGAACUGGGUGAUUUCCAACUUCCUAAAAGCCUAGGAUAAAAAAAAACCUCACCCAAUCAUAAAAAAUACAAAAGACCCCCUUUAAAUAAAUUUACCUAUGUGAAGGUGAAUAGCA